ACUCAAAGGAAUUGACGGGGGACCGCACAAGCAGCGGAGCGUGUGGUUUAAUUCGAGGCUACACGAAGAACCUUACCUAGGUUUGACAUCGCACUGAAGUCUGUGUGAAAGCAUGGAUGUCCCGCAAGGGACAGUGUGACAGGUGCUGCAUGGCUGUCGUCAGCUCGUGCCGUGAGGUGUUCGGUUAAGUCCGCAAACGAGCGCAACCCUCGGUGCCAGUUACAAGUGUCUGGCGCGACUGCCCGUGGCAAACGGGAGGAAGGUGGGGAUGACGUCAAGUCAGCAUGGCCUUUAUAUCUAGGGCUACACACACGCUACAAUGGCGCGUACAAUGGGCUGCGAACCCGCGAGGGGGAGCCAAUCCUACAAAGCGCGUCUCAGUUCAGAUUGCAGGCUGCAACCCGCCUGCAUGAAGUUGGAGUUGCUAGUAACCGCGCGUCAGCAGAGUGCGGUGAAUACGUUCCCGGUCCUUGUACACACCGCCCGU
Molecule: ribosomal RNA, 487 nt
Filed under: uncultured bacterium
Lineage: Bacteria
Description: partial 16S ribosomal RNA
Rfam family: Bacterial small subunit ribosomal RNA
Source: RNAcentral